AUAAAUUAUUACAUAUGUAUGAUACAAAAAUGUUGAUUAUUUUAUUGAUCUUUAAAAUAAUUUUGAAAAUUCAAAAUUUAUUAAUUACCGCAGCUCUAUAAUUAAGAAGAAUUAAUUUGGUCAUAUAUAAAUUAGAUUAAAGAAAAAGUUGAGUGGUAUGCUCGAAGAAGCUUCCCGCAGGGCGUUGCCGCGUAGGCGAAUGAAAGCAGCCUGCUCUUCCUGGGUUCACAAGUCAUCAAGUGUAAACGCAAUAAUUUGAAGGUGAUGAAGAUGGGAGACGGAAGUAUAUAUAAAGAUGGAAGAAAUUAGCCCCCUUCUUGUUCUAAAUACAUCUGAUUGAGAUUUCGGGUAUGCGUUUCUUGCAUACAGUAAAAAACCAGAUGAAUAUAUCAUGAGAGUAGUGCAGUUGACUCUACUGCUGUUGUUAUUA
Molecule: long non-coding RNA, 430 nt
Organism: Manihot esculenta (cassava)
Lineage: Eukaryota; Viridiplantae; Streptophyta; Magnoliopsida; Malpighiales; Euphorbiaceae
Exons: 2
Source: RefSeq, a predicted model, not a curated record